UCGUUAGCUCAGUUGGUAGAGCAGUUGGCUUUUAACCAAUUGGUCGUAGGUUCGAAUCCCACACGAC
This 67-nucleotide transfer RNA is filed under the name Pseudomonas fluorescens. It matches the Rfam family "tRNA". Rfam says of the family: Transfer RNA (tRNA) molecules are approximately 80 nucleotides in length. Their secondary structure includes four short double-helical elements and three loops (D, anti-codon, and T loops). Further hydrogen bonds mediate the characteristic L-shaped molecular structure. tRNAs have two regions of fundamental functional importance: the anti-codon, which is responsible for specific mRNA codon recognition, and the 3' end, to which the tRNAs corresponding amino acid is attached (by aminoacyl-tRNA synthetases). tRNAs cope with the degeneracy of the genetic code in two manners: having more than one tRNA (with a specific anti-codon) for a particular amino acid; and 'wobble' base-pairing, i.e. permitting non-standard base-pairing at the 3rd anti-codon position. The record is from RNAcentral. RNAcentral also lists the same sequence under 18 other names. Lineage: Bacteria; Pseudomonadati; Pseudomonadota; Gammaproteobacteria; Pseudomonadales; Pseudomonadaceae.